Molecule: ribosomal RNA, 265 nt
Filed under: uncultured bacterium
Lineage: Bacteria
Description: partial 16S ribosomal RNA
Rfam family: Bacterial small subunit ribosomal RNA
Source: RNAcentral
GUCCUAGCCCUAAACGAUGGAUACUUGCUGUGACUGGGAUUGAAUCCAGUCGUGGCGAAGCUAACGCAUUAAGUAUCCCGCCUGGGGAGUACGGUCGCAAGGCUGAAACUCAAAGGAAUGACGGGGGCCCCGCACAAGCGGUGGAGUAUGUGGUUUAAUUCGACGCAACGCGAAGAACCUUACCUGGGCUCGAACGGCUAGUGACAGGUGGCGAAAGUCGCUUUUCCCGCAAGGGACACUAGUCGAGGUGCUGCAUGGCUGUCGU